GAGUCGCAAUAAUACUUCUGCUUUUGAUGUUUUUUUUCUUCUGUGUUUAUGGUUUAACUGUCUUGAUACAGGUUAAGAAAGUUGGGAGGUUUAAGGAGACAAUGCGAACUGAAGGAAUAUCGACCUCGGACAUUAUUAUGAGAAUAGUGAAAGAUUACAACCAGUAUGUCAUGCGUAAUCUGGAUAGAGGAUAUUCGAGGGAAGAUCUUGGAGUUAGCUUUGUCAAGGCAUGCCAUCUUCUUCUUCUUCUUUUUUGCUACCUCUUCAUUUUUCUUGUUUUGCAAUUUUUUUUCACUUUGGAGGAGUCAGCUUUGGGUUUAUUGAUUUUUGCAACAGGAAAAGAGACUUAGAGUUAAUAUGAGGCUAAAGAAACUCCAGGAGAGGGUCAAAGAACAACAAGAAAAAGUGGGAGAAAAGGUACGUCUUCUCUCAACUUCCAUUUGCUUAAUUGUUCAUCAUUGUUCCAUCGUUUUGAUUGUAUUGCAUUCUAUCAAAUAAGCUCUUCAUCAUAAUUUGCAAGGUGAAUAAACUAAAUCUAGGUCUUGUACCCUCUGUACACUAUAGGCAAAGAGCAUUCUUAUCUCUUUUUUCUGGUUUGUGUCUUUUUGUUGUGCAUUAAGAAAUGAUGCUUGUUAAUCCGUUUGUCUUUGAAAGGUCUAAAUAUUACUUCUUUUAUGUGUAGUAGUUGUGCCAGGCGAUAUCAAGUUGUAAAUUAAUUUCAUCCUUAUAGUAGCAGCCUGAUCACUUAUAUCCACUGUGCUUGAAACUUCCAUGCAUUUUAUUUCUUUACCUAGUAACAUGACAUCUUGAAGAUGUCGAUUUGAUAUCCAUUUUUUCUAACUCCUUUGUUAAUGUUUAAACCCGGAUUUUCCAGAUCCAAACCGUAAAAAUGCUGCGCAACGAGUGGGUAGAGAAUGCAGAUCGAUGGGUCGCUGGAUUUCUUGAAAUAUUUGAAGAAGGUUGCCAUAAGAUGGUAAGUUAAAUCUUGAAGACACUAUACAUAACGUUAAUAAUUUAGUACUCAUGUUCUGUAUAAGCUUUGGUUAAAAAUGAAAAAUGCGUAAAAUGUUAUUAGGGAACUGCGAUCAGAGACAGUAUCCAGGAGAGGCUAAUCAAACAAAUUCCCAGAAAGAAGCUGGAGAACGGUCAGGAUGAUGACACAGAUGACCAAUUCUAUGAAGAAUACUUCGACCAUGACAUGGGCAGUGACGAGGAUGAAGAUGAAAAAUACUAUGACGAGGAGGAAGAACUAGAAGAAGAAAAGAAAGAGAAUGCCGUUAAGACGGAUGCAAAAGACAAGUAGUAAGAACUAAGAACAACACUGGCUCUCAGAAACCAAAGCUACUCAUGACCACUUCUACUAAACUACUAUAAUCUCUCACUCUCUAUCAGUAAAAUGCAUCUACUUAACAUAUGAUAUCAAUGUUUAGAAAGUGAGAGUGUGUGUGCUUGUCUUUGGUGAGUUGUCUCAUCGUUGUUGAUUUUUGUAUACAAAUGUUUUCCCUUUCGAUACUUGGUAUCUUCUGUAUCUUUUGUUUCUAUCGUUUUUUUUUCUGUAUAACAGGCAUUCCAACACCCCGGUUGCAGUAACUGCAACAAGAAGCGACCAUCAUCAUUGGCUUACAUUUGAUGCUAAUACUGGGACCAACACAAAGCACACUUGCCAUCUCCAUUCUUUUCGAUAUAUAUAUAUAUAUAUAAUAUUUAUUUAGAUUCAAUUUUCAUUUUUUCUGUAUUAAGUAAUUUUGUUAAAAAAUAUUUUUUUCUUAUUUUACUAUUGGAUUAUUGGUGUCUACAAUUUUGUAAAUGUAAACUUAGAUGUAAAUUACAAAAAAAUACCUAUAUAUUUUCAAAUUAUAAAAAAUUCAUAACUUUAAUUUAAAAUAAAACACACUAUUUUUAAAAUAUAUAUAUAGUAAUUAAUCAUUACUAAUAUUAAUAAAAUAUAUUUACUUAUAAGAUGUUUAAAAUUUAUUUAAUUAUUAAAUUAUUUCAGCCUGUCUCAAUUUAAGUUGGAACAAAAAUUAUAAAUUUUAUAGAGUUUAUAAGAUUACAACAGGAAAAAACAAAAACAAAAAUAAAUAAAACAAAAAUGAUAAAUAAUCAUUUUUCUCGUCAGGAUAGAAAAGAGGGAAGCGACUAUCAUCACUUGUUGUUGUAAGUUUUCGCGUUUCAUUUGAUCAUCGGAGAACAUGAGCAACGUCACCGGUGAUCCCACUGGAGACCUCCCUUCCACCGCCGUCGCACUCCCCGGCUCCACAGCAGUCCAGAGUUCGCCUCCCACUGAUCGUCCCGUCCGCGUCUACGCCGAUGGGAUCUACGAUCUUUUCCACUUCGGCCACGCUCGAUCUCUCGAACAGGCCAAGAAAUCGUCAGUAACCUCUCAUCUCCCUGAGAUAGUUUUUGACUAAUUUCAUUUUAUUUCGGAUGGAUUAGUGUUAUAUUGAUCUGUGAACUCCUGAAUCAGGUUCCUUUGUGUAAGUUGUGCAGAUUGGUCUCGAUGAUAAUUUGAUCUGUGUUGAUGAUUAAUAUUACUGCCAAAUACAUUGAGAUUGUGUAAUUUUGAUAGGUCUCUCUUUGGAAUAGCUCUGAUGUUGUGAUUUUGUAAAUUUGAGAAAUGGUUUUGUGUUUCUUAUUGGUUUUGCCGUUGCUUUAGGUUUCCAAACACUUACCUUCUUGUGGGAUGUUGCAACGAUGAAACCACACACAAGUACAAGGGGAGGACUGUGAUGGCUGCUGAAGAGCGAUAUGAAUCACUUCGGCAUUGCAAGUAUUUGCCUUUUUUUCAUACCUUGUGUUGUUGUAGUGUAAGCAAUGGAAUGGAAGUUUUAGAGAGAAAGUUUGUUUUGUUACGCAGAUGGGUGGAUGAAGUCAUCCCGGAUGCACCGUGGGUGAUCAACCAAGAGUUUCUUGACAAUAACCGGAUUGAUUAUGUAGCCCAUGAUUCCCUUCCGUAAGACCAUGUUUCCUUUUGUCUCUGUCUUGAUUUAGUUUUGGAUUUUUUUGAAGGAUUUUUGUUUUCACCUCUUAUGCUCUUCCUUGUUUGAAUCAACGUUCAGGUAUGCUGACACCAGCGGAGCUGGAAAGGAUGUCUAUGAAUUUGUGAGUCGCAAUAAUACUUCUGCUUUUGAUGUUUUUUUUCUUCUGUGUUUAUGGUUUAACUGUCUUGAUACAGGUUAAGAAAGUUGGGAGGUUUAAGGAGACAAUGCGAACUGAAGGAAUAUCGACCUCGGACAUUAUUAUGAGAAUAGUGAAAGAUUACAACCAGUAUGUCAUGCGUAAUCUGGAUAGAGGAUAUUCGAGGGAAGAUCUUGGAGUUAGCUUUGUCAAGG
This 3332-nucleotide long non-coding RNA is filed under the name Brassica napus (rape). Its description in RNAcentral is "long non-coding RNA (BNAP_LNC002230)". Lineage: Eukaryota; Viridiplantae; Streptophyta; Magnoliopsida; Brassicales; Brassicaceae. The record is from RNAcentral.